RNAcentral lists this ribosomal RNA (774 nucleotides) under uncultured Neocallimastigales. Its description in RNAcentral is "partial large subunit ribosomal RNA". It matches the Rfam family "Eukaryotic large subunit ribosomal RNA", at positions 23 to 647 of the family's 3401-position model. The record is from RNAcentral. Lineage: Eukaryota; Fungi; Neocallimastigomycota; Neocallimastigomycetes; Neocallimastigales.
AGAGAGAGACAUGCGCGCAUAUCAAUAACGGAGGAAAAGAAAACUAACAAGGAUUCCCUUAGUAACGGCGAGUGAAGCGGGAAGAGCUCAAAUUUGAAAUCUUCAAGGUUCUACCUUGACGAAUUGUAGUUUAUAGAAGUGUUUUCUGUUAGUGGAGUGGCAAAAGUUCUUUGGAAUAGGACAUCAUAGAGGGUGAGAAUCCCGUAUUUGGUCAUUCCUCCUAGCGUUGUGAUACACUUUCAACGAGUCGGAUUGUUUGGGAAUGCAGUCCAAAAUGGGUGGUAAAUUUCAUCUAAAGCUAAAUAUUGGCGAGAGACCGAUAGCGAACAAGUACCGUGAGGGAAAGAUGAAAAGAACUUUGAAAAGAGAGUUAAACAGUACGUGAAAUUGUCAAAAGGGAAGCGUUUGACACCAGUGUUGUUUUUCCGAAAAUCAAUUACGAAUGUUUUGUUUUUGAGGAGUUAUGACUUCAUCGACUUGCUUCUUUCUUUACGAAACUUUCUUAAUGCACUUUUCGGUUAACAAGUCAACAUCAAUUUCUUUUGUUGUAAAAGGGUAUGAGGAAGGUGGCUUUCUUUUCGGAGAAAGUGUUCAUAGCCUUGUACCUCUGCAAUCGGAGAGAUUGAGGUCUGCAGCGUAGAUCCUUCGGGGUUAGAUACAUUUGUGCUAAGUUAUAGCUUUUCAUAGACAACUUGUUGACUAUGUUUAGUCUUGUAGCUUACUCGCUUAUGCUAUUUUACCUACGCUUAGGAUGUUGAUCUGUAGUGCGUGCGC